RNAcentral lists this ribosomal RNA (253 nucleotides) under uncultured bacterium. RNAcentral describes it as "partial 16S ribosomal RNA". It matches the Rfam family "Bacterial small subunit ribosomal RNA", at positions 524 to 776 of the family's 1533-position model. The record is from RNAcentral.
UACGUAGGGUGCAGGCGUUAAUCGGAAUUACUGGGCGUAAAGCGUGCGCAGGCGGUUUCUUAAGUCAGAUGUGAAAGCCCCGGGCUUAACCUGGGAACUGCGUUUGAAACUGGGAGACUUGAGUGUGGCAGAGGGGGGUGGAAUUCCACGUGUAGCAGUGAAAUGCGCAGAUAUCGGGAGGAACACCAAUGGCGAAGGCAGCUCGCUGGGACGGUACUGACGCUGAGACGCGAAAGCGUGGGGAGCAAACAGG